CUACGGGUGGCUGCAGGCGAGAAGACUUUGCAAUGUGCGAAAGCACGACAAGGUUAAUCCGAGUGGUUUGUGCUAAACGAACCUUUUGACAGUCCUAGAAACACUGUUGAAUAAGGGGUGGGCAAGUUCUGGUGUCAGCCGCCGCGGUAAAACCAGCACCUCAAGUGGUCAGGAUGAUUAUUGGGCCUAAAGCAUCCGUAGCCGGCUCUGUAAGUUUUCGGUUAAAUCUGUACGCUCAACGUACAGGCUGCCGGGAAUACUGCAGAGCUAGGGAGUGGGAGAGGUAGACGGUACUCGGUAGGAAGGGGUAAAAUCCUUUGAUCUAUUGAUGACCACCUGUGGCGAAGGCGGUCUACCAGAACACGUCCGACGGUGAGGGAUGAAAGCUGGGGGAGCAAACCGGAUUAGAUACCCCAGUAGUC
This 422-nucleotide ribosomal RNA is filed under the name uncultured archaeon. RNAcentral's name for it is "partial 16S ribosomal RNA". It matches the Rfam family "Archaeal small subunit ribosomal RNA", at positions 323 to 746 of the family's 1478-position model. The record is from RNAcentral.